RNAcentral lists this ribosomal RNA (458 nucleotides) under uncultured bacterium. Its description in RNAcentral is "bacterial SSU rRNA". It matches the Rfam family "Bacterial small subunit ribosomal RNA", at positions 29 to 524 of the family's 1533-position model. The record is from RNAcentral.
AACGAACGCUGGCGGCAUGCCUAACACAUGCAAGUCGAACGGGAUCCUAGCUUGCUAGGUGAGAGUGGCGGACGGGUGAGUAACACGUGGGAAUCUGCCUUUUGGUUCGGGAUAACCGCGGGAAACUGCGGCUAAUACCGAAUGCCCUCGAGAGAGGAAAGAUUUAUCGCCAGAAGAGGAGCCCGCGUCCGAUUAGGUAGUUGGUGGGGUAAAGGCCUACCAAGCCGACGAUCGGUAGCUGGUCUGAGAGGAUGAUCAGCCACACUGGGACUGAGAUACGGCCCAGACUCCUACGGGAGGCAGCAGUGGGGAAUAUUGGACAAUGGGGGCAACCCUGAUCCAGCGAUGCCGCGUGAGUGAUGAAGGCCUUAGGGUUGUAAAGCUCUUUUGCCAGGGAAGAUGAUGACUGUACCUGGAGAAUAAGCCCCGGCUAACUUCGUGCCAGCAGCCGCGGUAAU